Molecule: transfer RNA, 86 nt
Filed under: Felis catus (domestic cat)
Lineage: Eukaryota; Metazoa; Chordata; Mammalia; Carnivora; Felidae
Rfam family: tRNA
About the family: Transfer RNA (tRNA) molecules are approximately 80 nucleotides in length. Their secondary structure includes four short double-helical elements and three loops (D, anti-codon, and T loops).
Source: Rfam by way of RNAcentral
GCCUGGGUGGUUCAAUCGGUUAAGCGUCUGACUUCAGCUCAGGUCAUGAUCUUGCGGGUCCGUAGGUUCGAACCCCACAUCAGGCU